CAGCAGCCACGGGAAUACAGAGGGUGCAAGCGUUAAUCGGAAUUACUGGGCGUAAAGCGCGCGUAGGUGGUUUGUUAAGUUGGAUGUGAAAUCCCCGGGCUCAACCUGGGAACUGCAUCCAAAACUGGCAAGCUAGAGUAUGGUAGAGGGUGGUGGAAUUUCCUGUGUAGCGGUGAAAUGCGUAGAUAUAGGAAGGAACACCAGUGGCGAAGGCGACCACCUGGACUGAUACUGACACUGAGGUGCGAAAGCGUGGGGAGCAAACAGGAUUAGAUACCCGAGUAGUCCCUGUCUCUUAUAC
RNAcentral lists this ribosomal RNA (301 nucleotides) under uncultured bacterium. RNAcentral's name for it is "partial 16S ribosomal RNA". It matches the Rfam family "Bacterial small subunit ribosomal RNA", at positions 509 to 807 of the family's 1533-position model. The record is from RNAcentral.